Molecule: long non-coding RNA, 2963 nt
Filed under: Canis lupus familiaris (dog)
Lineage: Eukaryota; Metazoa; Chordata; Mammalia; Carnivora; Canidae
Description: lncRNA (ENSCAFG00000057694.1)
Source: RNAcentral
UCCUAGGAGACAAAAGAUAAAAGAAGGGGUUGAGUUUUUGGUGGACAGGUCAGCACCGAGGACAGAAGCCUUACUGCUCAUCUUUCAGAGCCCUGGAUAUCAACGGUUUUUAAAAAUUUCAUUUUCCUACCUGAAAAGCCUUGUGCGCCCUCUAGGGGGCCUCCAGUUCGGACCCUCCCCCUUCUCUCUCUUCUCUGUCUUACCUCCCUCCAAACCCACCAUUUUCCUACAGUUCCAUCCCCAGGCUUCUGCAGUCACCAAAAUGGAGGAUGGGGGACAGGGGAUGACGUAGAUGGGAGGGGGUCUCAAACUCGGCUCUGCACCCGACCCCCACUCUGUCCCCCGCACCGACCUGGGCCUAUCCUUGCUGUCUCCUCCUUCUCCCGAUUCUCGCCGUGUGGGCGCCGCCGCGACACUUGACACCUAGGCCUGCAGUCCUGCAAAGGGCCAGCGUGGAGGGAGUGGGGGGUGUUGCGAAGCGUUUGGCGCCGACCUGCCACCACCUGGUUCCUUCCGGGUCCCGGGCCCCCCUGGCCGCCCCCUAAUCCCCAUCUCCGGCUCUCAACCCUAACGUCCCCCCACCCCGCCCGGGAGGUUCACUAUUUUCCUGCAGGAACUGGGGGUGAUUUCCAAUCGCUCUUAGUUGCUCUGCUGCUCUCUGGCCGUCCCAGCACCCCCACCCCAGGGGGCCACUAUGGAUGUUCCCAAGAAUGCCGAGGGUGGAGAAAGCUGGCCCGGACCCGCUGCGCUGAUCCUAGGAGCCGGCCCCGGAGCCCUUACCUGCUCCGCUUUCCUCGGGACUGAUGCCAGCCCGCCGGGCGCAGAACAGCUGGGAGCAGGUACCCAGACGGGAGUGACGACUGCACCGAAGGCUGAGUUGCUCUGCAGCUCCACGUCACGUGGAAGACUCCGUGGGACAUUCCUGCUAUCUUUAACCUGGGUUAGGAAGUGCAGACUGCUGGGAUCCUCAUCCUAUCCUCCCCACCUCCAGAGCACUCAGGAAGAACCAGGCCUUGCUGUAGGGUCACUAUUUGCCAGUCUAUACUCACCCUGGUACUCCCUCAUUUAUGCCAGGGUCCAAGGAACACUGACUACUGACCAUCCUGAGUAAACUUGUUAUUUUCAACACAGAAGUCUGUGGAACAGAUAUUGAAAUAUUAUCUGUAUAUGUGAGAAGGUGGUAAUAUAUUCACAUUUCUAUCAGGGAAAGGGGCCAAACUUCUUAGCUGAUUCUCAAAGAGGCCAUGAUUCAUCACCUCUAAAAAAGUUUUAAAAUCUUAGGACUACCAGGUGGCUCAGUGCUUGAGCAUCUGCCUUAGGCUCAGGGCAUGAUCCCGGGGUCCUAGGAUGAGUCCCCCAUCGGGCUCCUGCAUGGAGCCUGCUUCUCCCUCUGCCUAUGUCUCUGCCUUUCUUUCUGUGUCUCUCAUGAACAAAUAAAUAAAAUCAUUAAUUCUUUUUUAAAUCUCUAUAUAUGCUGUCUCACUCUCUUUCUAGCUCUUGACUUUCACCUUAGACCUGCUUCUUUUUCAAUUGUUUUCUGCCUUAGUAUCCACCCAUUGGCAAACCCAGAAUCUGGGCAUUAUCCUUGAAUCCCUGAUCAUUGUUCCUCAUGUUCAAUUAAUAAUCACAUCUGGCUAAGACUCUCAUAUCUUUUUAAAACAGCAGUAUGGAACUAUAGUUUACAUACCAUAAGAUCUGCCAACUUAAAGUGUACACUUUAAUGGUUUCUAAUAUACUUAAAGAAAUGUACAUUCCUCACCAUAGUCAAUUUUAAGACAUUUCAGUACAUCAAAAAGAAACUCAAAAAGUACACCUUCACUAAUCACUCCCCAUUCCACAAUUCUCUUCAAGUCAAGGCACCAUUAACAUAAUAUGUCUCUAUAGAUUUCCCUAUUCUGGAUAUUUCACAUAAAUGAAAUCAUACAAUAUGUGUUCUUUUGGGAUUGACUUCUUCAUUUAGCACAAUGUGUUCAGAGUUCAUGGCAACAAAACAAUUAAUCAUUUGAGGAACUUCUAAAUGUUUAUCCAAAGUGGUUGAUCAUUUUAAACUUUCUUACCAGCAGUAUAUGAAGAUUCUGUUAUCUCUACAUCCUCAUCAACAUUUGUUAUUUUCUGAAAGUUUGCUUCUAGUCAUAUUAGUGAAGAUGAAGUAGUAUCUCAUGAUAGUUUUGAUUGGCAUUUCCUAGAUAAUUAAUGAUGUUGAACAUCUUUUCAUGUUAUAGUUCUGCUCCCAUUCCAAUGUGUGUGUUUUGUUGCCAAACCACCAAGCAAUUCUCUGGUAUCACCUGAGUUAAUUCAAUUCUGACACUAUCUAUUUGGAGAUAGUAUCAGAUUCUACAGCUUAAGGGCUCAAUCCCGCAAGAUUGCCCUCCACUUCAGAUGCCAAUAACAAGUUCAAGUUAUUACCUGUGCUCCCUCCUUAGGUUUGAUUAAUAUGUUGGACAGGCUCACAGAACUCCAGAAACCAGUUUACUCACUAGAUUACUCAUUUAUCACAAAGUAUAUAAAUCAAUAGGCAAAUGAAAUACAUAGUGUGAGAUCUUGAACAAAGGAGCUUCUGUCACCAUGGAGUUUUCAACCCUGCACAGCAGCAUGUGGUUCACUAACUUGGAAACUCUCUGAAUCCCAUCCUUUUUGAGUUUUUAUGAGGCUUCAUUACACAGAUAUGAUUGAUUAAAUCAUUGGUUAUUGAGGAUUGAUUCAAUCUUUCCUGCACAUCUCCCCUCCUUGGAAAUCCAGGGAGUGGGACAGAAAGUUCCAGCCCUCCAAUCAUGGUUGUUUCUCCUGGCAAGCAGCCUCAUAUCUUUAGGGGAUUUCCAAAAGUCACCUUAUUAAUAAACUCAGUUGUAGUUGAAAGGGACUUGUUAUAAGUAACAAUGACACUCAUUUUAGUUUUUUGGCUCUGAAGUGACAAAAGACCAAAUAUUAUAACAAAAGACACACUUUUAUUGCUCGUAUCUCUU